GAUGAACGCUGGCGGCGUGCCUAAUACAUGCAAGUCGAGCGAACGGACGAGAAGCUUGCUUCUCUGAUGUUAGCGGCGGACGGGUGAGUAACACGUGGAUAACCUACCUAUAAGACUGGGAUAACUUCGGGAAACCGGAGCUAAUACCGGAUAAUAUUUUGAACCGCAUGGUUCAAAAGUGAAAGACGGUCUUGCUGUCACUUAUAGAUGGAUCCGCGCUGCAUUAGCUAGUUGGUAAGGUAACGGCUUACCAAGGCAACGAUGCAUAGCCGACCUGAGAGGGUGAUCAGCCACACUGGAACUGAGACCCGGUCCAGACUCCUACGGGAGGCAGCAGUAGGGAAUCUUCCGCAAUGGGCGAAAGCCUGACGGAGCAACGCCGCGUGAGUGAUGAAGGUCUUCGGAUCGUAAAACUCUGUUAUUAGGGAAGAACAUAUGUGUAAGUAACUGUGCACAUCUUGACGGUACCUAAUCAGAAAGCCACGGCUAACUACGUG
RNAcentral lists this ribosomal RNA (497 nucleotides) under uncultured bacterium. Its description in RNAcentral is "partial 16S ribosomal RNA". It matches the Rfam family "Bacterial small subunit ribosomal RNA", at positions 28 to 507 of the family's 1533-position model. The record is from RNAcentral.